GUCUUUUUGAUUAAUAAUUUAAAGUCUAAUCUGCCCACUGAUAAAAUAUUAAAGGGCUGCAGUAUUUUGACUGUACAAAGGUAGCAUAAUCAAUAGUCUCUUAAUUGGUGACUUGUAUGAAAGAUUUAAUGAGAUAUAUACUGUCUCUUUUUAAUUUAUAAAAUUUAAUUUUUUAGUUAAAAAGCUAAAAUAUAUUUAAAAGACGAGAAGACCCUAUAGAGUUUAAUAUUUAAUUAGAUUGAAAUUAUUUAUAAAAUUUAAGAUUUUAAUUUAUAUUAAAUAUUUUGUUGGGGUGAUAAAAAAAUUAAAAGAACUUUUUUUAUAAAUUUACAUUAAUAAAUGAAUAAAUGAUCCGUAAUUUACGAUUAGAAGAAAAAAUUACCUUAGGGAUAACAGCGUAAUUUUUUUUUUUAGUUCAAAUAAGAAAAAAAGUUUGCGACCUCGAUGUUGGAUUAAGAUAAAAUUUAAAUGCAAAAGUUUAAAAUUUUUGAUCUGUUCGAUCAUUAAAAUCUUACA
This 516-nucleotide ribosomal RNA is filed under the name Parnassius hide aksobhya. RNAcentral's name for it is "partial 16S rRNA". The stretch from base 389 to 516 matches the Rfam family "Bacterial large subunit ribosomal RNA", at positions 2473 to 2600 of the family's 2925-position model. The record is from RNAcentral. Lineage: Eukaryota; Metazoa; Arthropoda; Insecta; Lepidoptera; Papilionidae.